GCUAGUAAUUUGAAAUUAAUUAUUUUAACUAAUCUUCUUACGUCAACUUAUGGACAAUGAGUGAGAUGUACACAAACACAAAGGCACUGAAAGAAAAACCAACCAACCGUUUGACUUGAGGCCCCAUUACCACCUUCCUUGAAUACAAUAAAAUUGAGAAUCUUUGGUAAGAAGAAUAAGUGAGAAUAGCUAAGUCCAAAGCAACUCGCCUACUCGAUGUCCAUUUCUUCCUAUAUUGCUCUUCCCUCUUCUUCACUAUGCCAUCGCAAAAAUUCAAUCAAUAUUAUAGUUGCAAGUCAGCUCUCUAUGAUAUGUACCCCACCAUUUCCAAAUGACAAUAUUGUCCUUGGAUGACCAUGCUCCACUAACAUAGUCUGCCCAAGCUUGAACCUCUUACUUCCAAUUGGAAACCACCUAACUUUGAUGAAAGUAAAACAAUAUGUAGCUGCUUCAUUAAGAUUCAUUCAUUGGAUAGUUGGGGUCCCCUUGGAAGUUGGAACCUUCAGUUAGUUUUCUUUAUUGAUCUCUUGUUAUGGAAGGGCAUUAGAGACAUUGCAUUAAGUUCGAAGGGUAAGUUCUGUAAAUGCAUAUUUUGUGUGCCCUUCUGCUUUCAGGCCCCAUGGAUGUUGCUUUCUUCUGCGUCGGAUGCUUUUGUUGUUUUGUGUUCCCUCAUUAGUUUAUUAGUGGAGCAAACUUGGGACACAAGUGAAAAUGAAAAAUAUAAAAGGGAGAGGAAAAGGAGAAGCUAUGUGAAGAUGGGGAGGUGGAGGGGGUACUGGAUGUGCUUCAAGAGCUCGUUUAUCAUCCCAACAAAGGGUGUACUUCUCAAGGCUAACUCUCGUCUCAGACACAAAGCCAAAGGGAAUGGAUAUGGUCUGGUUGGUCUUUACAAGGACAUAGAGUCCAAUGGAGGAUAUGCAGAUAUUCAAGUGAUGUGGGAGAUGAUUCAUUCUUCUCAUCCUCCUAAUGUUCACACCAUCAAAAGGAGCAAGAGGGCUUCUCGGAGAUUCUGUUUUAUGCCAAGUUGAAUUUUCACAUUUUCUCAAAGGAUUGGUCUUAGAUGCCUUUUAUACACUUCUUUCAGUGUCCCCUUUUGCAUUUAAAUAAAAGAGCUAGUUCUGUUUCUGCAGAUAGAAAAUGCCAGAGCAAGCACCACCUCCUUUGUCAUGCAUAUACCAGCAGCUGAGCAUAUAGAUUAUAGUUUGCUCUGAAAAGUCUCUACUUCGAAACACUUCUGUAUAUAGUUAAUGACUUCUCUGUUGAUUCGUAGGAUUUAGCAAGCCAUGGGUCUUGGGAGAUCUCCCAAAUAAAAAAUCAACUAUGUAAGAUAAUUCAGAACUAUUAUCUUCUAAUCAAAUUUGGCAUUUAUAAAAAUAGUUGAUACAAUUCAUGGGCAAAUAGGAGUAGGAGUAUGGAGCAUCAUUCUAAGAUGCUUAAACUCUUUUAUUGUUCCCAUAAACUAUCAGAAGCGAAAAGCCCGUCGAGCUUGCAACUGAAACUUUGAUUGAAUAUUUUCUCUACUAGGUGAAAGCAAUGCAACUAACAGCUUUAUUUUAUACUAAUAUUUUUCAUCUAUUAAUGACAACAAUCAUUCUAUUCUCUCUGAAUUCAAGAACAUUCUCUCCUUUGUCAAAAGAGCAAUGCAUAUUUCUGCAGAUGACAAUACUGUAAAUAACUCCAUAUGUGAAGUGCCACACUGCUGAAAGCCACUCCUGAAAUCUAAGACUGACCAAGAAAGAGAACUGACACUAUGAGGCUUCAUCAUGCUGCACCACCCUCUUCGAGGAGCAUUUGAUCGAAGUGCCACACUCC
This is a long non-coding RNA of Vitis vinifera (wine grape), 1812 nucleotides long. RefSeq lists it as uncharacterized. The transcript has 2 exons. Lineage: Eukaryota; Viridiplantae; Streptophyta; Magnoliopsida; Vitales; Vitaceae. The record is from RefSeq and is a predicted model, not a curated record.